GACAAAUGAUGUUGUCGCUAUCUUCCCACCGCCCUAAACUCAAUUUUUGGAAGCUCUUACAUUAAUUAUUCAUACACUCCUUUAUAUUCCAUUCAUCAUCCUUUUCUUCCUUCUCCAUUUUUAUUUUUAUUUUUUCAUUUUUUCUAAUAUUAAAUUAUUUGAUUAAUUAAUCCAUGUUCUACAAUACCACGUGAAUUCGUUUCUCCCCCCCCCAAAAAAAACACGAU
Molecule: long non-coding RNA, 227 nt
Filed under: Gossypium raimondii (Peruvian cotton)
Lineage: Eukaryota; Viridiplantae; Streptophyta; Magnoliopsida; Malvales; Malvaceae
Description: long non-coding RNA (GRAI_LNC003293)
Source: RNAcentral